CCCACUUGUGCCUGCUAAACUGGUAUCAGUAUGUUGAUUUAGUGCUGGCUCAGUUCAGCAGGAACAGGUGUG
Danio rerio (zebrafish) is the source of this 72-nucleotide non-coding RNA. NCBI's taxonomy places the organism in Eukaryota, Metazoa, Chordata, Actinopteri, Cypriniformes, Danionidae. The record is from Rfam.